RNAcentral lists this ribosomal RNA (114 nucleotides) under Citrobacter werkmanii. Lineage: Bacteria; Pseudomonadati; Pseudomonadota; Gammaproteobacteria; Enterobacterales; Enterobacteriaceae. The record is from RNAcentral.
UUCAGCGUGUAGCGCGGUGGUCCCACCUGACCCCAUGCCGAACUCAGAAGUGAAACGCCGUAGCGCCGAUGGUAGUGUGGGGUCUCCCCAUGCGAGAGUAGGGAACUGCCAGGC